AUGGCCAUCGGCACCCCGGCGUUCGCCCUCCUCUUCGCCGCCUCCCUCGCCGGCGUGGCCAACGGCGACAUCCCCUCGCUCGCCGCUGACCCCGCCACCGCCGCAUCCCCUCGCUCGCCGCCGACAUCUCUCCUGGCCUCUCUCUGUGGCGCUCUCUCUAGCCUCUCUUUGCCACUGGCCAUCUCCAUCGAGGCCGUCGGGAGCGAGGUCCUCGAGUCCGGGGACGCCCCCUCGCGGCCGUCGGCCGCCACCGUCGAACCUGCGCCCAGCCGCCGCACAGCGCCGGUCGCCGGCCUCGCCACGCCACCCCGCCCUUCCUGGUCGCCACGGCCACGGAGGGGGAGCCGCCUCCGCCGGCGAGCUCGCGCUCCUCGGCCCCGCCAGAGAGGCGCUCAUCACCGUGCGCAGCAGCCGUGUAGAGGCAGCGUCUCGUCCCGCGCGCAUCGGCGCUUGAGCACGGACGAGGAUGCCACCGCCGGGGAAGGGGUGGACUGGGAAGAGGAGCCGCUGGGGUUUGAGGUGUCGACGACGCCGAUACCCGAGCUGCCGGACCUGGAGAUGACGACUGGCCGUCCCCCGCCAGUGUCGUCCCCCCGCCGCCGCGUCGAACUGCCUCCACGGCCACGUCGGGGUGCACGACGGCCUUCUCUUCCACCGGCGCCGACGUCUCCGCCGAGUCGAGCCAGCGACACCGUCGGCUGCCUCCCCAUUCGGCGCCCGACCACCUCCUGCCUAGCGCUCCAUCGACGGUGCUCCCCGGUCGUCCCUCAACCCAUGCCACUGCAAUCGGACACCGCCCGCGUCGGCGCGCCGGCCGUCUCCACCGCGCCAAGCACCAGGCGCCGCCGUGCCCGGCCGUCGCCGCUUAUGUGCGCUCGCGCGUGGGAGAAAGGGGGAAGGAGCGAGAGGAAGAAACUGAAAGAAAGGGCAAUAGGGACAUUUUUUCUGCCCGGGCCCACAUGUCAGAGCUGCCAAACGGAUGAACCUUAACAGAAUAGUG
RNAcentral lists this long non-coding RNA (1000 nucleotides) under Oryza sativa Indica Group (long-grained rice). RNAcentral's name for it is "lncRNA OsMH63_03G024400". The record is from RNAcentral. Lineage: Eukaryota; Viridiplantae; Streptophyta; Magnoliopsida; Poales; Poaceae.